GCUCACAGCUGCAGCAUGGGUCUGGUGGAGAGUUUGAACCUUCUCCUCACCUCCACUCAUCCAGAUUCCACCUUUCUGGUAACUAGGAGUGAAGCAGAGCACAGGAAUCCAGUGGCUGGCCCAGGGCAUAAGUGUCUCAGCCUUAAGCCACCUUCUCCCAGGAAACCUGUAAGAGAAGAGCUCUGGUGGGAGACUCUAGAUGGACAUGGAGGGUGGUGGGGUGUAGAGAGAACAAGAUGCCAGGAGAGCCUCCCUCCAGAUUCUCUCCAGCCAGACCCUCUCUCAUUCCUUGCUCUCCCCUUGUCCCCAGGUUUACAAAUAGAGACUUCAUGUUAGCAUCUUCCCCACCAGAGUAAACUGACCCAGGAAGCCCUCUCCUCUCUUUGAACCAUGGAGAAUCAUGCUACCGUAGAAAUUAUGGUUUGGGGAGGUGUGUGUUUCAAGUAGAGGUGGUUUGCCACAGGUAGGUGAUGAAGAGCUGUCAGCUUUAAAGGGCAGAGACACCGUCUAAAGGAAGUAGAAAGCCUCAGGAAAGUACCUAAGUCUAAGUCUGUCAACAAGAGACAGAAAAAGUUUGGGUUAACCUCAAAGUAGCCAGCAUAAACCCUGAAUCUGACUUUUGGGCUUCCUGACCUAGGAGACUGGGAAAACUCAAGAGGGUGUUUCAGGGCUGAGUCUGAAGGAAGAAAGGAUUUGAGGGAGGAAUGUAUAAGAUUAGUCCAAAACAAGGUAUGCACGAGAUAUGGCAGUCAGAUGCCAGGGAGCCAUCAGCUCUGCCAGCUGAAGGGGAGGUGCAGAGUUGGCUGGAAGCUGGCCAGAGCAGAGCAUUUCUCCUGUGAGCACUGGAGAGCUGUGCUGAGAGGCCUGGGAAGAGCCCUGUGCUGGGGGAGGAAGGCUAGGUUGGGUCGGCAUGUUUGUGUGCUGUACUCUUCUGAGCCUUACCUGAAUCUCUUGAGAUAGCUCCACUGAACUUUGAGUGAAGAGGAAAAGAAACUGGGGGAAAGAGGGUGGGAUUAUAAAAAAAGGAGCAGACUGUACCCCUGGGAUCCCUAGGCUAAAAGGCCCUCCCCUUGAUGAGACAGGCAGAGAUCAUCUCCCCUGGAACAAGGUCACCCUUCCUCUCUCCCAUCGCUACAUUCCUCUCCUCCUUACUGUUGACUAUUGGUUGCCUGCCUCUUUCAUCACAAAAUGAGACUCCUCUUUAGCUUUAGUAGAGGGUUGGGCAAACUUUUUCUCUACAGGAGUAGAUGAUAAAUAUGUUAGGCUUUGCAGGACCUAUCAUCUCUGUUGCAGCUUCUCUACUGUAGCAGCACAAAGCAGCCAUAGACAAUAAGUAAACAAAUGGGCGUAGCUGUGUUCCAAUCAGA
This 1367-nucleotide long non-coding RNA is filed under the name Homo sapiens (human). Its description in RNAcentral is "HSALNT0295690". Lineage: Eukaryota; Metazoa; Chordata; Mammalia; Primates; Hominidae. The record is from RNAcentral.